This 1797-nucleotide ribosomal RNA is filed under the name Durio zibethinus. RNAcentral describes it as "SSU rRNA". It matches the Rfam family "Eukaryotic small subunit ribosomal RNA". Lineage: Eukaryota; Viridiplantae; Streptophyta; Magnoliopsida; Malvales; Malvaceae. The record is from RNAcentral.
CCUGGUUGAUCCUGCCAGUAGUCAUAUACUUGUCUCAAAGAUUAAGCCAUGCAUGUGUAAGUAUGAACUAAUUCAGACUGUGAAACUACAAAUGGCUCAUUAAAUCAGUUAUAGUUUGUUUAAUGGUAUCUACUACUCGGAUAACCAUAGUAAUUCUAGAGUUAAUACGUGCAACAAACCCCAACUUCUGGAAGGGAUGCAUUGAUUAGAUAAAAGGUCGACGCGGCUAUGCCCAUUGCUCUGAUGAUUCAUGAUAACUCGAUAGAUUGCAUGACCUUUGUGCCAAUGAUGCAUCAUUCAAAUUUUUGCCCUAUCAACUUUCAAUGGUAGGAUAGUGGCCUACUAUGGUGGUGACGGGUGACGAAAAAUUAGGGUUCAAUUCCAAAGAGGGAGCCUGAGAAAUGGCUACCACAUCCAAGGAAGGCAGCAGGUGCACAAAUUACCCAGUCCUGACAUGGGGAGGUAGUGACAAUAAAUAACAAUAUCGAGCUCUAUGAGUCUGGUAAUUGGAAUAAGUACAAUCUAAAUCCCUUAAUGAAGAUCCAUUAGAGGGCAAGUCUGUUGCCAGCAGCCACGAUAAUUCUAGCUCCAAUAGCGUAUAUUUAAGUUAUUACAAUUAAAAAGCUCGUAGUUGGAACUAGGGUUGGGUUGUUCGAUCUGCCACACAGUGAGUACUGGUCUACUCAUCCCUACUGCUAGUGAUGUGCUCCUGGACUUAAUUAUCCGGGUCAUUCCUCCGACGCUGUUACUUUGAAGAAAUUAGAGUGCUUAAAGCAGGCCUACGAUUGUAUUCAUUAGCAUGGGAUAACAUCAUAGGAUUUCAGUCUUAUUGUGUUGGCUUUUGGGAUCAGAGUAAUGAUUAAUAGGGAUAGUUGGAGGCAUUCGUAUUUCAUAGUCAAAGGUGAAAUUCUUGGAUUUAUGAAAAAUGAACAACUGUAAAAGCAUUUGCCAACGAUGUUUUCAUUAAUUAAGAACAAAAGUUGGGAGCUUAAAGAUGAUCAGAUACCAUUCUAGUCUCAACCAUAAACGAUGCCAACCAUGGAUCGGUGGAUGUUACUUUUAGGACUUCGUCAGCACCUUAUGAGAAAUCAAAGUCAUUGGGUUCUGGAGGGAUUAUGGUCGCAAGGCUGAAACUUAAAGGAAUUGAUGAAAGGGCACCAUUAGGAAUGGAGCCUGCAACUUAAUUUGACUCAACACAGGGAAACUUACCAGGUCUAGACAUAGUAAGGAUUGACAGACUAAAAGCUCUUUCUUGAUUCUAUGGGUGGUGGUGCAUGGCCGUUCUUAGUUCAUGAAGCGAUUUGUCUAGUUAAUUCUGUUAACGAAUGAGACCUCAGCCUACUAACUAGCUACGUAGAGGUGAUCCCUUGUGGCUAGCUUCUUAGAGGGACUAUGGCCAUUUAGGCCAAAGAACUUUGAGGCAAUAAUAGGUUUGUGAUGCCCUUAGAUGUUCUGGGCCUCACACAUGCUACACUGAUGUAUUCAACGAGUCUAUAGCUUUGGCCAACAGGCUUGGGUAAUCUUUGAAAUUUCAUCAUGAUAGGGAUAGAUCAUUAUAAUUGUUAGUCUUCAACGAGGAAUUCCUAGUAAGUGCGGGUCAUCAGCUCGCGUUGACUACGUCACUGCCCCUUGUACACACCACCCGUCACUCCUACCAAUUGAAUGGUCUGAUGAAGUGUUCAGAUCAUGGCGAUGUGGAUGGUUCACCAUCCACGAUGUCGCGAGAAGUCCAUUGAACCUUAUCAUUUAGAGAAAGGAGAAGUCGUAACAAGGUUUCUGUAGGUGAACCUGCAGAAA